This 1062-nucleotide long non-coding RNA is filed under the name Homo sapiens (human). Its description in RNAcentral is "HSALNT0291173". The record is from RNAcentral. Lineage: Eukaryota; Metazoa; Chordata; Mammalia; Primates; Hominidae.
UCCAAGGUCGGAUAUUAUUUUAUUUUUUCUUCUGGAAUCUUUAUUGUUUUGUUUUUACGUUUAGGGAUAUGAUUAUGAUGUAUCUCAUUACUUCUUGUUAUAGUGUGAAGUAGAAAUCAAAGUCCAUGUUUUUCCAUAUCGACCCAGCGCUACUUACGGAAAAGACAAUCCCUUCCCUCCCACAGGAGAACUGUCAUCAAUCAGAAAUGCUCACUCUGGAUGCAUUGUGGACGAUGGAUUGGUGGCGGAGUGGAUCCAGGGGAAUGUGUAGAAGAAUAUUGGCAAACCAAGAGGAGAUGAUGGUGGCCUGGAUGAGGGUAGUGGUCGUGGAGGAAGAGGAUGGAGGUGAAAUCAACAGGGCUUGGUGAUGGAUUGGAAAUGAGUGGAGGAUGCUUUGAACUAUAGCCAACAGAAAGCCCUAUUCAAACUGGUUUAAAAAAAUAAAGACUUCACCAAAGGCUGAAGAAACAGACUUUGAGUUGAAGUUUCAGGAAUAACUCCCGGGACUAGGUCAUCAAGAAAACUGCUGUAAUCAGAAAGCCACCGGCUCCAGAAUGCAUCACAGCUACCACCAGGGAGCCGCCAUUAUCAGGAGGCUGCUACUAAUGUGCCACACCAUCACACCACGCCUGCCACAGUCCUUGGCAGCAGAAUAAAUGCGUGUUCAUGUCUUAUUCUUGAUGUCCACUAAGCUAGGAAAACCACAUCUUUACCAACUGUACGACAGAAAAACCAGAUGUCUUCACAACUGUGUUGUUAGCAGAAAUGGCAAAAACAACAGGAAGAUGGCCUUCACCUUCCUUCCAUUUUCUACAUCUUGUGUGACUGAAUCUGAUUGGCUGAGUCUUAAUUGUCAGAGUCCUGGCUGCCAGGGACCCUGGCAUAGCAUGCUAGAAGGAGGUGCUGACCCAAUGUAUCCAUCACAUCACAUCAAACCACACAAAGUAUGGUGAUAUUAUGUUCUUUUCUGUCUUUCUUACUGGAUGGAGUGGGUUCCAGGAGGGCAGAGUUCUAUUAACCUUCUUUUUUUUUUUUUUAAGACAGAGUCUCGCUGUGUCACCA